Gymnopilus junonius is the source of this 85-nucleotide non-coding RNA. The record is from the annotation of a GenBank genome assembly. Lineage: Eukaryota; Fungi; Basidiomycota; Agaricomycetes; Agaricales; Galerinaceae.
UGUCCCAUGGCUUAGUUGGUCACGGCGUCCGACUGUUAUUAGCACUGGCAUCGGAAGAUCGAGAGUUCGAGUCUCUCUGGGACAG